UGGGACAUGGGAUAAGAAAUCUUACUCACCUUCACAAAGGGAUAUGGUCUCUUAUAGCUGGCACUAGCCCUUUGUGUACUUUGAGUAAAGUAUUGAAUUGUUAGGGUAGUAACGUUACCAAAACCAUGUCCCUUCUUCAAAUUCUACAUGUCUCCUUUCGUUGUCUGUGCACUUUUGUUUAUCCUUUUUGACAGCUUGCCUGGGUAUAACCUAGUCAAAUCGGCUUGCUUUUUCCAAGAUUUAGCAAAUUUAUAGGUAGUAGGACUUUUAUCUCUAUAGCUUGAGACUAAUGCAUUAGGGAUCAUAUGUUGUUUCCUAGUCACGAUCUCGAAUGGAUUCUUAUUAGUUGACUCGCUUCUUUGCAAGUUGUAGAAGAAUUGAGCCAUAACAAGCAACUUGGCCCAACUUUUUUGGUUGGCAUUCACUUAUUGUCUUAUGUACAGCUCCAACAAUGCAUUAGUACGCUCUGUUUGCCCAUUACUUUGUGGAUAAAAGGUUGUGGAGAAGUUCAAAGCCUACUUAAGGAGCUUGAAGACCUUUAUUCAAAAUCUUCUUGUGAAUCGAUAGUUUUGAUCACUUACUAUGUUAUUUGGCACUUCCAAAAUUUUACUACAUGCUUUAGAAAUAGUCGAGUCAUCUCCUCUGCCAUGCAAUCCUUUAAUGCAGGGAUGAAAGUAUUAUAAUUGCUAAAUCUAUCCCCUACAAUAAUGAUGCUACCAUACCCUUUUGAUUUGGGCAAACAAGUGAUGAAAUCUACUAAGAUGCUUUCCUAUGGCUUUUAUGGAAUGGGCAACCGAUCUAGCAAGCUCUCAGGGUCAUGUGGAAGUCCUUCCUUGAUAUGAUCAAGUAGUGGGCACGUGGGUCGAUUCAUGGAAGCAAACUUCUUUUAGUGUAUCCGCCACCUAUUUCCUAUUCUUAGCUUGUAUUCCAUCUCAUAGUGAAACUUUACCAAGAAUUCUUGUCAUCGAAUUUGUCUAGGAAUGAGCUUUUUUUUGUGUUUAAAAGUAGCUAGUGACAACAUUGUUUAUCAUGAUAGUGAAGAAACUUCUAGAAGGUAAUGUCUUCAAGUGCGCAAAUAAUGGACAACUGUCAUCUUCUUUU
Molecule: long non-coding RNA, 1101 nt
Organism: Ziziphus jujuba (common jujube)
Lineage: Eukaryota; Viridiplantae; Streptophyta; Magnoliopsida; Rosales; Rhamnaceae
Exons: 2
Source: RefSeq, a predicted model, not a curated record